Molecule: ribosomal RNA, 406 nt
Filed under: uncultured bacterium
Lineage: Bacteria
Description: partial 16S ribosomal RNA
Rfam family: Bacterial small subunit ribosomal RNA
Source: RNAcentral
AUUGAACGCUGGCGGCAGGCCUAACACAUGCAAGUCGAACGAGUGGCGGACGGGUGAGUAAUGUCUGGGAAACUGCCCGAUGGAGGGGGAUAACUACUGGAAACGGUAGCUAAUACCGCAUACUAUCGGAUGUGCCCAGAUGGGAUUAGCUAGUAGGUGGGGUAAUGGCUCACCUAGGCGACGUUCCCUAGCUGGUCCGAGAGGAUGACCUGCCAAACUGGAACUGAGAAACGGGCCAGACUCUUACGGGGGGCAGCAGUGGGGAAUAUUGGACAAUGGGCGCAAGCCUGAUCCAGCCAUGCCGCGUGUAUGAAGAAGGCCUUCGGGUUGUAAAGUACUUUCAGCAGGGAGGCGUUACCCGAAGAAUAAGCACCGGCUAACUACGUGCCAGCAGCCGCGGUAAUUC